Molecule: ribosomal RNA, 426 nt
Filed under: uncultured bacterium
Lineage: Bacteria
Description: bacterial SSU rRNA
Rfam family: Bacterial small subunit ribosomal RNA
Source: RNAcentral
CGAGGAUAAUUCGCAAUGGACGAAAGUCUGACGAUGCGACGCCGCAUGAACGAUGAAGGCCUUUGGGUUGUAACGUUCUGUUGCCAUAGAACAAGAGUACUUGACGAAUAGUUGGGUAUGAUGAGGGUAUAGGGAGAGGAAGCAACAGCUAAUUCCGUGCCAGCAGCUGCGGUAAUACGGGAGGUGCAAGCGUUAGUCGGAAUUACUGGGCGUAAAGGGUGCGUAGGCUGGGAUAUAAGUUGGUUGUGAAAUACCGGAGCUCAACUCCGGAACAGCAAACAAUACUGUAUUUCUAAGAGGAGUGGCGGAGAGAAUGGAAUUCCAUGUGUAGCGGUGAAAUGCGUAGAUAUAUGGAAGAACACCUGUGGCGAAAGCGGUUCUCUAGCUUCCUCCUGACGCUGAGGCACGAAAGCAAGGGGAGCAAAC